CGGGAUACUACUACUGGGGUUACUACUACUGGGGAUACUACUACUGGGAUUACAACUACUGGGGAUACUACUACUGGGGAUACUACUACUGGGGAUACUAUUACUACUACUACCGGGGAUACUACUACCAGGGUUACUGCUACUGGGGUUACUACUACUGGGGUUACUACUACUGGGGUUACUACUACUACUGGGGAUACUACUACUGGGGAUACUACUACUACUGGGGUUACUACUACUACUGGGGAUACUACUACCGGGGAUACUACUACCAGGGUUACUGCUACUGGGGUUACUACUACUGGGGAUACUACUACUGGGGAUACUACUACUGGGGAUACUACUACUACUGGGGUUACUACUACUACUGGGGUUACUACUACUACUGGGGAUACUACUACUGGGGAUACUACUACUGGGGUUACUACUACUACUGGGGUUACUACUACUACUACUGGGGUUACUACUACUGGGGAUACUACUACUACUACUAGGGUUACUGCUACUGGGGAUACUACUACUUCUAGGGAUACUACUACUGGGGAUACUACUACUACUACUGGGGAUACUACUACUGGGAUUACUACCACUACUACUACUGGGGAUACUACUACUGGGAUUACUACUACUACUGGGGUUACUACUACUGGGGAUACUACUACUGGGGAUACUACUACUGGGGAUACUACUACUGGGGUUACUACUACUACUACUGGGGUUACUACUACUACUACUGGGGUUACUACUACUACUACUGGGGUUACUACUACUGGGGUUACUACUACUACUGGGGAUACUACUACUACUGGGGAUACUACUACUGGGGUUACUACUACUACUGGGGUUACUACUACUACUGGGGUUACUACUAUUACUACUGGGGAUACUACUAUUACUACUGGGGAUACUACUACUACUGGGGUUACUACCACUGGGGAUACUACUACUGGGGUUACUAAUACUGGGGUUACUACUACUGGGGUUACUACUACUACUACUGGGGAUACUACUACUACUGGGGAUACUACUACUACUACUGGGGAUACUACUACUACUGGGGAUACUACUACUGUGGAUACUACUACUGGGGAUACUACUACUGGUGUUACUAUUACUACUGUGGUUACAACUACUGGGGAUACUACUACUGGGGUUACUACUACUACUACUGGGGAUACUACUACUACUGGGGAUACUACUACUGGGGAUACUACUACUACUGGGGUUACUACUACUACUGGGGUUACUACUACUACUGGGGUUACUACUACUACUGGGGUUAUUACUACUGGGGUUACUACUAUUACUACUGGGGAUACUACUACUACUGGGGUUACUACUACUGGGGACACUACUACUACUGGGGAUACUACUACUGGGAUUACUACUACUGGGGAUACUACUACUGGGGAUACUACUACUGGGGAUACUAUUACUACUACUACCGGGGAUCCUACUACCAGGGUUACUGCUACUGCGGUUACUACUACUGGGGUUACUACUACUGGGGUUACUACUACUACUGGGGUUACUACUACUACUACUGGGGAUACUACUACCGGGGAUACUGCUACCAGGGUUACUGCUACUGGGGUUACUACUACUGGGGAUACUACUACUGGGGAUACUACUACUGGGGAUACUACUACUACUGGGGAUACUACUACUACUGGGGUUACAACUACUACUGGGGAUACUACUACUGGGGAUACUACUACUGGGGAUAUUACUACUACUGGGGUUACUACUACUACUGGGGUUACUACUACUACUACUGGGGUUACUACUACUGGGGAUACUACUACUUCUAGGGUUACUACUACUGGGGAUACUACUCCUACUACUGGUGAUACUACUACUGGGGAUACUACUACUACUACUGGGGAUAUUACUACUGGGAUUACUACUACUACUGGGGUUAUUACUACUGGGGUUACUACUAUUUUUACUGGGGAUACUACUACUACUGGGGAUACUACUACUGGGAUUACUACUACUGGGGAUAAUACUACUACUGGGGAUAAUACUACUACUGGGGAUAAUACUACUACUGGGGAUAAUACUACUACUGGGGUUACUACUACUACUGGGGUUACUACUACUACUACUACUGGGGUUACUACUACUACUACUGGGGUUACUACUAUUACUACUGGGGUUACUACUACUGGGGAUACUACUACUACUACUGGGGAUACUACUACUGGGGAUAUUACUACUGGGGAUACUACUACUACUGGGGAUACUACUACUGGGGAUACUACUACUGGGGAUACUAUUACUACUACUACCGGGGAUACUAAUACCAGGGUUACUGCUACUGGGGAUAAUACUACUACUGGGGAUAAUACUACUACUGGGGUUACUACUACUACUGGGGUUACUACUACUACUGGGGUUACUACUACUACUGGGGUUACUACUACUGGGGAUACUACUACUACUGGGGUUACUACUACUACUACUUGGGAUACUACUACCGGGGAUACUACUACCGGGGAUACUACUACCAGGGUUGCUGCUACUGGGGUUACUGCUACUGGGGAUACUACUACUGGGGAUACUACUACUGGGGAUACUACUACUACUGGGGUUACUACUACUACUGGGGUUACUACUACUACUGGGGUUACUACUACUGGGGAUACUACUAAUACUAGGGUUACUACUACUGGGGAUACUACUACUACUGUGGAUACUACUACUGGGAUUACUACUACUACUGGGGUUACUACUACUGGGGUUACUACUACUGGGGUUACUACUACUGGGGAUACUACUACUGGGGUUACUACUACUGGGGUUACUACUACUGGGGUUACUACUACUACUACUGGGGUUAUUACUACUGGGGCUACUACUACUACUACUGGGGUUCUACUACUGGGGAUACUACUACUGGGGAUACUACUACUGGGGAUACUACUACUGGGGAUACUACUACUGGCGAUACUACUACUGGGGUUACUACUACUACUGGGGUUACUACUACUACUGGGGAUACUACUACUGGGGAUACUACUACUGUGGAUACUACUACUGGGGAUACUGCUACUGGGGAUACUACUACUACUGGGGAUACUACUCCUACUGGGGAUACUACUACUACUGGGGAUACUACUACUACUGGGGAUACUACUACUACUGGGGAUACUACUACUACUGGGGUUACUACUACUACUGGGGUUAUUACUACUGGGAUACUACUACUACUACUACUACUACUGGGGUUACUACUACUGGGGUUACUACUACUGGGGACACUACUACUACUGGGGACACUACUACUACUGGGGUUACUACUACUGGGGACACUACUACUACUGGGGACACUACUACUACUGGGGUUGAUACCACUACUGGGGUUGAUACUACUACUGGGGUUGAUACUACUACUGGGGUUGGUGAUACUACUACUGGGGUUGAUGAUACUACUACUGGGGACACUACUACUACUGGGGUUACUACUGGGGUUACUACUACUACUGUUGAUACUACUACUACUGGGGAUACUACUACUACUGGGGUUACUACUACUACUACUGGGGUUACUACUACUACUACUACUGGGGUUACUACUAAUACUGGGGUUACUACUACUGGGGAUACUACUACUACUGGGGAUAAUACUACUGGGGUUACUUCUACUGGGGUUACUUCUACUAGUAUUGCCACUACUAGGAUUGUUACUACUGGUGUUACUACUACUGGGAUUACUACUACCGGGAUUACUACUACUGGAAUUAAUACUACUGGGUUUGCUACUACUGGGGUUACUACUACUACUGGGAUUACUAUUACUGGGAUUACUACUACUGGAAUUAAAACUACUGUGAUUGCUACUAAUGGGUUUACUAAUACUGGGAUUACUAAUACUGGAAUUAAUACUACUGGGAUUGCC
RNAcentral lists this long non-coding RNA (3901 nucleotides) under Salmo salar (Atlantic salmon). RNAcentral's name for it is "lncRNA (ENSSSAG00000111070.1)". The record is from RNAcentral. Lineage: Eukaryota; Metazoa; Chordata; Actinopteri; Salmoniformes; Salmonidae.